RNAcentral lists this unclassified non-coding RNA (520 nucleotides) under uncultured Glomus. RNAcentral's name for it is "SSU rRNA". It matches the Rfam family "Eukaryotic small subunit ribosomal RNA", at positions 569 to 1093 of the family's 1831-position model. The record is from RNAcentral. Lineage: Eukaryota; Fungi; Glomeromycota; Glomeromycetes; Glomerales; Glomeraceae.
AGCAGCCGCGGUAAUUCCAGCUCCAAUAGCGUAUAUUAAAGUUGUUGCAGUUAAAAGCUCGUAGUUGAAUUUCGGGAUCAAUAUAUCGGUCGUGCCUUGGUACGUACUGGUAUCAUUGGUUUCUCCUUUCUGACGAACCAUGAUGUCAUUAAUUUGGUGUUAUGGGAAGUUAGGACUGUUACUUUGAAAAAUUAGAGUGUUUAAAGCAGGCUUUGGCUUGAAUACAUUAGCAUGGAAUAAUGAAAUAGGACGUUCGAACCUAUUUUGUUGGUUUCUAGGAUCAACGUAAUGAUUAAUAGGGAUAGUUGGGGGCAUUAGUAUUCAAUUGUCAGAGGUGAAAUUCUUGGAUUUAUUGAAGACUAACUACUGCGAAAGCAUUUUGCCAAGGAUGUUUUCAUUAAUCAAGAACGAAAGUUAGGGAUCGAAGACGAUCAGAUACCGUCGUAGUCUUAACCAUAAACUAUGCCGACUAGGGAUCGGAUGAUGUUAAUUUUUUAAUGACUCAUUCGGCGCCUUACGG